Molecule: ribosomal RNA, 339 nt
Filed under: Triticum aestivum (bread wheat)
Lineage: Eukaryota; Viridiplantae; Streptophyta; Magnoliopsida; Poales; Poaceae
Description: partial small subunit ribosomal RNA
Source: RNAcentral
AUGGCGGGUGCAAGGAACAAGUUCACGCAACCGGAUGAAGAAACACCCUUUGGACGACACCUGAAGGAAGUUACCAAGUACCUGAACAUCGGAGUACCAAGCUUCACCAGGACCUAUAACGCCACCUUACCUGAAGAAGAGCGCUGGAUGAAUCAAGUACAAGUUCCAAGAAGGACGUUCAUGCCCAUUGUCGGUGUCAAAACCGGCGGAUCUCGGGUAGGGGGUCCCGAUCUGUGCGUCAAGGCUGAUGGUAACAGGAAGCAUGGGACACAGAUGUUGGUUCUGGCCCUCUCGAUGGAGAGUAUCCGGAUUGCCGCGCUUGCUACUUCGAAUCCCUAG